AUCUUUUCUAACUUGAAAUUUUGGAUCCACCACUGUUUAGGAUCCAAAAUGUUGCAAAUCAAUCCUUAAAGAGUUUGCUUUUAGGACAAAUCGAACAAGUCCUAAAUAUACAACUAUCCAACAGGAUAAGUUGCACCCAGUUUAUGCAUCUUCAUUGGUUUUUGAUGGUAAAACUUACACUGGUGAGGUUGCCAGAAGCAAGAAAGAAGCAGAACAGUUAGUCACACGAAUCGCCAUUGAGUCUCUUCUUGGAUCUGAUUCAGGAAUUCUUCUUCAAAUAAUCAAUUCCAAAAGCAAAGCUCGUGAUGGAAGGAAUUACAUUAAUGACAACAGCAUCAAUGAGAGCAACGCUCAAGGUCUAGGUAAUAUUGGUUUUAGCUAUGUUGGUGAAGUUCUAAAAUGUUGAGUAAUAUAUAUGGUGAACUAAUAAUUUGCUACUGGUUGUAGUUCCGGUAGGACCUUCACAACAUCCGGUUAAUGUUUCGUCUUUUUUUGCCAACUUACAUUCUCUGGGUCCAAGUGCUAAUGCUAAUCGGAAGAACAAGCGGAAACUGCAGGAUGAGAAAUGUAAACAGAAACAAAUGCGAAUUCAUCAGCAGUAGGUUUGUCUUUCUCCAUUUUGAUUAUGUCCUAGUACUUAUCUUGAGUGCAAGGGCAUAAAUUCCAAUGUUAUAUGAACUUGAUUUAAGACAUCUAGACUCCAUAUGAUGACCAGCCAUGAAUAUUCCAUUUUGAUUGAGUAUUUUACCAUAAAAUCCUAGGUUUCUCACUAAUAUUUUUACUAUUUUCUAAUGCUUGGUUGUAGGUUUCUAUAAGAUGCUGUCUUCUCUAGUCUCCAAGUGGUUUCAAAAUCAAAGAUUUUAAUUCACUAAUUGGUGGACCUUUAUGUAAGUUUUUGAAGAAAUAUGUUGUGCAAUUUGCAGCAAGUAGGAAAACUAGGGUUGAUUUGCAUAAACACAGCAAAUAGAAACUUAAGCUAUUUUAUACUUACCUUUUGCCGGGGGCUGUGCAUCUAUAAAAUUUUCCUAUGUAAAUUAACAAUGAAAUGGUAAAUUUACGAUGCAAGCAUGGAAACUACUGAGGCUUAUGAUGGUAAAUCAUAUUGAUUAAAGUUUUCUCUUAGUUUGACCAACCUGGUGUUUGGCUAUAUUAAUCAAUGGUGCUAAUUUUCUAGAAAACAACUUUGCAAUCAUGGAAUUUAAGAAUAUGAAUUGGAAAAACAAAGAAGUUAGAAAGCAAAAAUGUUUGAACAGUGCCCCCCUUGUGUGGGACAUCAAGAACUACUGCUAAGUGAGUCAAAACUUUAUUUCUUUUGAAGAGAGCUGUGCAAUAGAUUCCCUGAAUUGG
This is a non-coding RNA of Durio zibethinus, 1347 nucleotides long. NCBI's taxonomy places the organism in Eukaryota, Viridiplantae, Streptophyta, Magnoliopsida, Malvales, Malvaceae. The record is from RefSeq and is a predicted model, not a curated record.